ACGAACGCUGGCGGCGUGCUUAACACAUGCCAGUCGCACGGAAAGGCCCUGCUUUUGUGUGGUGCUCGAGUGGCGAACGGGUGAGUAACACGUGAGUAACCUGCCCUUGACUUUGGGAUAACUUCAGGAAACUGGGGCUAAUACCGGAUAGGAGCUCCUGCUGCAUGGUGGGGGUUGGAAAGUUUCGGCGGUUGGGGAUGGACUCGCGGCUUAUCAGCUUGUUGGAGGGGUAGUGGCUUACCAAGGCUUUGACGGGUAGCCGGCCUGAGAGGGUGACCGGCCACAUUGGGACUGAGAUAAGGCCCAGACUCCUACGGGAGGCAGCAGUGGGGAAUAUUGCACAAUGGGCGGAAGCCUGAUGCAGCAACGCCGCGUGCGGGAUGACGGCCUUCGGGUUGUAAACCGCUUUCGCCUGUGACGAAGCGUGAGUGACGGUAAUGGGUAAAGAAGCACCGGCUAACUACGUG
This 467-nucleotide ribosomal RNA is filed under the name uncultured bacterium. Its description in RNAcentral is "partial 16S ribosomal RNA". It matches the Rfam family "Bacterial small subunit ribosomal RNA", at positions 29 to 507 of the family's 1533-position model. The record is from RNAcentral.